UACGGGGGAUCCAAGCGUUAUCCGGAUUUAUUGGGUUUAAAGGGUGCGUAGGCGGAUUGAUAAGUUAGAGGUGAAAUGUCCGAGCUUAACUCGGGAACUGCCUCUAAUACUGUUGAUCUAGAGGGUAGAUGCGGUAGGCGGAAUGUAUGGUGUAGCGGUGAAAUGCUUAGAGAUCAUACAGAACACCGAUUGCGAAGGCAGCUUACCAAUCUAUAUCUGACGUUGAGGCACGAAAGCGUGGGGAGCAAACAGG
Molecule: ribosomal RNA, 253 nt
Filed under: uncultured bacterium
Lineage: Bacteria
Description: partial 16S ribosomal RNA
Rfam family: Bacterial small subunit ribosomal RNA
Source: RNAcentral